UGGCCCAAAUGGACUUGAGACUGCCUACUUACUGCUCUGCUCUGUGCACUGCUGGCCAGAAGCACCCAUCAGUGUCACAGGCCACGGUGUGCCGGGAUCACAGACAUCCGGAGGAGGGAGAAGAAUACAUCCAGGAGGAAAAGGAAGCAGUAAACAAAGGAAGGAAAGGACAACUGCAGUUUGAAGAAAGGAUGCUUAUGAAAGGAGAAAAAGUUCAAAAUUUGAGCUACUGCAGCAAACUAGGAAGACACUGUUAAUUUCUAUUUAAAGAAUGUGAUGGCUGGAGUGCAGCAGCUCUCUUGCAUCCUGAGGAGGACUAACUGCAGGUUUGACAGAGAAUAAGCCAAGAGGAAGGCAGGACCGUGAGAAACCUGACGCUGCCAUACCAGGCCCAGACUGCCUACCUCUGGAUUUCCUUGACCCACGAGGGAAAUAAUCUAAGCCACCAUUAUUUUCUAUUUUCUGUUAUGGCAGCUAAGCCUAAUUUUAACUGAU
This is a long non-coding RNA of Myotis daubentonii (Daubenton's bat), 495 nucleotides long. RefSeq lists it as uncharacterized. The record is from RefSeq and is a predicted model, not a curated record. Lineage: Eukaryota; Metazoa; Chordata; Mammalia; Chiroptera; Vespertilionidae.